AAGUCGUAACAAGGUUUCCGUAGGUGAACCUGCGGAAGGAUCAUUAACACGUAUCCAACGUUAAACAACCCUGUGAACCUUCAUGCCUCUCGUAGCCCAGGAGGAACAGCAAUCCCGGUAAAUCAAUGGCGGAAAGUUUUGAUUCGGGACCUCUGUCCAAAAGGUUACGAUCGAGUGAGCAAAGAGGAUAACGCAUCUCGGUUGCCAAGAGGUCGAUCACCGGCCGGCAGACAUGUCACCGGGCUUUAUGCCCCCCCAUUCACACCUUGCCCUAUCAACUCCUGGAGAAAUGCCAGGAGAUAAACCGAACAACUGUUAACAAUGGAUAUCUUGGUUCUC
Molecule: unclassified non-coding RNA, 339 nt
Filed under: fungal sp.
Lineage: Eukaryota; Fungi
Description: partial internal transcribed spacer region
Rfam family: Eukaryotic small subunit ribosomal RNA (bases 1-46)
Source: RNAcentral